This 584-nucleotide ribosomal RNA is filed under the name uncultured bacterium. RNAcentral describes it as "bacterial SSU rRNA". It matches the Rfam family "Bacterial small subunit ribosomal RNA", at positions 60 to 692 of the family's 1533-position model. The record is from RNAcentral.
AGUCGAGCGCCCCGCAAGGGGAGCGGCAGACGGGUGAGUAACGCGUGGGAAUCUACCGAGCCCUGCGGAAUAGCUCCGGGAAACUGGAAUUAAUACCGCAUACGCCCUACGGGGGAAAGAUUUAUCGGGGUUUGAUGAGCCCGCGUUGGAUUAGCUAGUUGGUGGGGUAAUGGCCUACCAAGGCGACGAUCCAUAGCUGGUCUGAGAGGAUGAUCAGCCACAUUGGGACUGAGACACGGCCCAAACUCCUACGGGAGGCAGCAGUGGGGAAUAUUGGACAAUGGGGGCAACCCUGAUCCAGCCAUGCCGCGUGAGUGAUGAGGGCCUUAGGGUUGUAAAGCUCUUUCACCGGUGAAGAUAAUGACGGUAACCGGAGAAGAAGCCCCGGCUAACUUCGUGCCAGCAGCCGCGGUAAUACGAAGGGGGCUAGCGUUGUUCGGAAUUACUGGGCGUAAAGCGCACGUAGGCGGAUAUUUAAGUCAGGGGUGAAAUCCCAGAGCUCAACUCUGGAACUGCCUUUGAUACUGGGUAUCUUGAGUAUGGAAGAGGUAAGUGGAAUUCCGAGUGUAGAGGUGAAAUUCGUA